Molecule: long non-coding RNA, 3315 nt
Filed under: Gallus gallus (chicken)
Lineage: Eukaryota; Metazoa; Chordata; Aves; Galliformes; Phasianidae
Description: lncRNA (ENSGALG00010006367.1)
Source: RNAcentral
CUUUCCUCUUCUGCUGUAAAGAAUGUACACAAACAAGAAGUAAACACAACUUUUCUGCUCAUCUGAGUCCCUGUAUCUGAGCAUGAAUGAUCUGAGGGAUUAAGAACGUGGGGAGAGGAGCCUGAGUUGAGCUGAAGAGCAUGCAGGUGAGAGGACUUCUACAGGUCGUGCUUGACAUCUGGUUGCUGCAAAGACUAACACAAAAAUUAUCUGUCGAACAACUUCUUCAAGAUGUCUCCUGGCAGCUUCUACCGGAUGCAUGCCAUUAUCUACUGUGCUGUCUCCUUGGGAAGGACCUCCACAUCCAACAGGUCAUGCAUUCUGUCAGCCAUAUCAGCUUGCCUAAGAAAGAUCCUGCCACUCCAUGUGAACUUGCUCUCCUGAAUGCUGUAAACCACCAGCACUCACAAAGGCACAAAUGUCAUGCACCUUUCUGAGAUGUUCCUGUCCAGCUCCAGGUUUCCCUCUCUCUUUCAGUCUUCAUGCUUCCUUCACACAACAAGUUCAUUGUUGGAUAUGUUAACCAGGAUCAGAGACGUUCCUUUGAAGUUACAAAUGGGAACUGAAGACUGAAGAGCUACAGCUGUUUCAAGUGCUGUCAGCCACAGGAUGGAAACACCUGGGAAAGCACUGUAGAUGCCAGCAGUCACCAUGGCCUGGUGGUGCCCCACAGCUUGGUUGGAUCCCACAGGGGUGCAGGAAGAUGCCGAAAAAGCUCUGACCCAUGCAGGUUGUGCUUACUGCUUAGAGAAACUGGAUAGGCUGGUCACCUCUCAAAAAAACAAACCUUUGGAGGAUGUGCAUGUGGAGGUAGCUUCCGCUGCCCAAAGCAUCCCUGCUCCACCAGCAGCAUCCCAUGUGGUGUGGACUCAACUUUGGAGGGGCUUUCCCAAAAGUGUCAUCUACUUGGAGCCAAGUGGUAGCCCUGCAGCACAGACAAAACCCCUCCGCCAUGCCCUGCCCUGACUGCCCGCAGCCUCCUGAGCCCAUUCAGAGAAUCACAGAAUCACAGAAAGGGACUCUAUGAAGGGCCCUGAAACUGAUCAUUGAACUCCAGCCCCCUGCGGUGGGCAGGGCUGUCACCCACCAGAUCAGGCUGCACAGGGCCACAUCCAGCCUGGCUUUGAGCACCUCCAGUGAUAGGGCAUUCCCUCCUUCCUUUCAGGACAUGACCGGGUCUGGUGACCAAAUCACUUCCCACACAGGGAAGCACUAGUGGAGCUAGAUCCAGCUCUCCUAAUUAUCACACAGAGCCUGUAGACUGUUAACAGCAGCCCACAUUAGCAUGGAGCCAAGUCCUUAGUGUGCUGUGAUAAUAACAGUGUUUAAUAGAAUUAGGGGAAGUAUAUAAUCAGAAUAAGACUGCUGUGUGUACACAAAGGCAAGAUUAAUACACAACCAGUGAGCCGGCGCUAAGUCGAUAAAGUGGAAUUCACUGGGAGCCAGGAUAGCAGACAGGUAAACAUUAAUCUCUGUGUGUGAUGUGGAGUUUAGAGAUCAGAUGUUACUCGAAACCCGUGCAGAUGCAUGGGGUAUUUGGAGGGCACCACAGCCUCUGUUACCUUACACUCCUCAUGUGGAGCAGGAAGAGCUGCAUUCUUUGUGAUUAACCCAGCUUGAACUUUGAAAUGUGACUCCCAAAUAUUUGCGAGAAUACUGCAACUAAGACAAAGGAGUGGGGCUUUAAAGACCCUGUGGUUCUACAGUGUGCAGCUAGCUUCCUGCGGGGCUUAGGGCAAGUCCCUGCACCUCCCGGGACCUCAAUUGCCCAUGAAUUUCCUCCAAAUAGAUUUCCUUUGCACAUCUUAUUUCCAUGGGGAAUUAGUAUGGAAGUUUCAGAAGGGAAACACAAGAAGGCUAAAUGAGAAACUUCAACACCCAAACUAAAACUGUGGGGGAGUUUUUCUUAUUUCAAGGAAGAAGAGCACAGUUGGUCACAAAGCUAGCAAACAUUUCCAGCUUCGAAAGAGGUCUGUGCCUAAAUACCUGGGUACUGCUCUGUUACUGAUCUCAUACCCACACAUACCAGUAUUUCACCACAUUCAAUUGGUUGAUCAGCCACCUGAAGGUGCCAGAAGGCAUCAUCUUUCCAGGGAUCGCUGAUGGAUAGUUGUAAAUUUCUUAGGUCAAGAAAGAAAGUUUUGUAUUCUGGGGGCUUUAAUACAGACAUAUUGCCCAGCUUUGGCUGGCCAUUAAAUUAAUCCCUUUCUUUCCAGAAGCAAUCACAAGGGAUCCCAAAUGAUAAGCUGAGGAGAACCCCAGGGAUUCCAUCACCCCUGGAUGCAGUGUGCCCACAUUUAGAGCAGGAGUAGGGAAGGUCUCAGCUCCUGCAGCCCAGGACACCGUACUUCAAUGAGCCCCAGCCAGCACAACCUACUUAUUUUACCCUUGUGAAAGUGCUUUAACUUCAGAAUAAAAUAUUGUUUUACCCUCUGCCCUGCUGCUCUGUGUAACUCCAGUGUCAGCUUCCAAAACUAUAACAAACCUCCUAAACAAACAGAUUUUAAGCUCUGCUUCCAAACCAGGCUGGGUAAGGAGCAAGCAAGCUGAAUUAGAUGCAGGAGCCGAUUCAUCACCCCUUCCUCUGCCUCCUGGUCCCCCUGCCAUUUUGGGCAUUCCCAGCUGUGUCACCUGCAUGACAAACAGGGCUGAAGGAGUUGUUUUUGCAAGGUGCCAGUGGCCAGUCAGCCUCUUUGCAAGGUGAGGGCGAGCUGCCAGCUGUCUCCUCAAGGAGCACAGCCCUGGAAGCCAGCAGAGCAGGAGGAGAGGGAGGGUAUGGAAACUUCCCAGGGGAGGAUUGUUGCAGAGACUGAACAGGCUCUGCUCUAUCCAAGCACAAGGAAAUGUAUUAAUGUCAGGCCCAAGUGCCCUGCUUUGUCUCAUGACAGCACCUUCGCAAACAUCUCAAACAUUUGUUUUCUUUUGUGCAGCCUCACAUGCCACCACCCAGCACCAACAAAUAGAAGCUCCAUACUUUUUAAGCACAGCCUUAUGAGGAAAUACUGUUACAAUGAGCCGCAGCUCUGUCCUGGCAUGGCGAUAAAAAUGCUGGCAGAGAUGGGAGGCAGAGCAUGUGCAGAGCAGCAGCUGCAAGAGGGGCCUGUGGCAAUUGCAAUGGCUCCCAGGAGCCAAUGGGGAGAAUGGGCCAUACAGAAAAAUCCAGGAGACCUCUUAGGAAGGACUUGCUAUGGGGUUAGUUAAAGCUGUUUUACGACUCUCUGGACUGGGAAAGAAACAAGCAAGUCCUGUUUUUCUGAGGUACAGUGAACUGUGUCACUGCUGUAGCACCAGAAGGAGCUGCCGCCCUGCAAGAAG